RNAcentral lists this ribosomal RNA (725 nucleotides) under Pseudomonas sp. NTN153. Its description in RNAcentral is "bacterial SSU rRNA". It matches the Rfam family "Bacterial small subunit ribosomal RNA", at positions 58 to 766 of the family's 1533-position model. The record is from RNAcentral. Lineage: Bacteria; Pseudomonadati; Pseudomonadota; Gammaproteobacteria; Pseudomonadales; Pseudomonadaceae.
CAAGUUCGAACGGCAGCACAGAAGGAAGCUUGCUCCUUGGGUGGCGAGUGGCGGACGGGUGAGGAAUACAUCGGAAUCUACUCUGUCGUGGGGGAUAACGUAGGGAAACUUACGCUAAUACCGCAUACGACCUACGGGUGAAAGCAGGGGAUCUUCGGACCUUGCGCGAUUGAAUGAGCCGAUGUCGGAUUAGCUAGUUGGCGGGGUAAAGGCCCACCAAGGCGACGAUCCGUAGCUGGUCUGAGAGGAUGAUCAGCCACACUGGAACUGAGACACGGUCCAGACUCCUACGGGAGGCAGCAGUGGGGAAUAUUGGACAAUGGGCGCAAGCCUGAUCCAGCCAUACCGCGUGGGUGAAGAAGGCCUUCGGGUUGUAAAGCCCUUUUGUUGGGAAAGAAAUCCAUCUGGUUAAUACCCGGGUGGGAUGACGGUACCCAAAGAAUAAGCACCGGCUAACUUCGUGCCAGCAGCCGCGGUAAUACGAAGGGUGCAAGCGUUACUCGGAAUUACUGGGCGUAAAGCGUGCGUAGGUGGUCGUUUAAGUCCGUUGUGAAAGCCCUGGGCUCAACCUGGGAACUGCAGUGGAUACUGGGCGACUAGAAUGUGGUACAGGGUAGCGGAAUUCCUGGUGUAACAGUGAAAUGCGUAGAGAUCAUGAGGAACAUCCAUGGGGUAAGGCACCUUCCUGGAGCGACAUAGACACGGUAGGCACAUAAAGCGUGGGG